RNAcentral lists this small nuclear RNA (269 nucleotides) under Octodon degus (degu). RNAcentral's name for it is "7SK RNA (ENSODEG00000023001.1)". It matches the Rfam family "7SK RNA". From Rfam's summary of the family: 7SK was discovered as an abundant small nuclear RNA in the mid-70s but a possible function has only recently been suggested. Two independent studies have found that 7SK RNA binds the CDK9/cyclin T complex (known as elongation factor P-TEFb). The record is from RNAcentral. Lineage: Eukaryota; Metazoa; Chordata; Mammalia; Rodentia; Octodontidae.
GGAUGUGAAGCGAACUAGUUUCCUAUCUGAUCUAGGUCUGUCGCCUCCCUGAUCAAUCCCCACAGUUGAAUCAGCUGAUCUGGCUGACUAGAAGGGUAUCUCCUCCUCUUUCACUGCUCCGUAUAUGUCCCUCCUGAAGCUUGGAACAACUUCCUUCCAUAGGGGCAGACCAUUUCCUAGGUCAAGGGUAUAGGAGUAGCUGCUUUUCCCUUCUAGAAAGAACCUCCAGACAAGCUCUCAAGAUUUCCAUUUUAUUCCUUUCCACUAAG